GACGAACGCUGGCGGCGUGCCUAACACAUGCAAGUCGAGCGGGGUCCAUCCGGUAGCAAUACCGGGGAAGACCUAGCGGCGAACGGUGAGUAACACGUGAGAAACCUGCCCCGAAGUCUGGGAUAACCCGAGGAAACUCGAGCUAAUACCGGAUGUCUUCUUCUGAUCGCAUGGUCGGAUGAAGAAAGAUUUAUCGCUUCGGGAGGGUCUCGCGGCCUAUCAGCUAGUUGGCGGGGUAACGGCCCACCAAGGCGUCGACGGGUAGCUGGUCUGAGAGGACGAUCAGCCACACUGGGACUGAGACACGGCCCAGACUCCUACGGGAGGCAGCAGUGGGGAAUAUUGCGCAAUGGGCGAAAGCCUGACGCAGCAACGCCGCGUGCGGGAUGAAGGCCUCGGUGUAACGAC
Molecule: ribosomal RNA, 408 nt
Filed under: uncultured bacterium
Lineage: Bacteria
Description: bacterial SSU rRNA
Rfam family: Bacterial small subunit ribosomal RNA
Source: RNAcentral